This 3565-nucleotide long non-coding RNA is filed under the name Betta splendens (Siamese fighting fish). Its description in RNAcentral is "lncRNA (ENSBSLG00000005546.1)". Lineage: Eukaryota; Metazoa; Chordata; Actinopteri; Anabantiformes; Osphronemidae. The record is from RNAcentral.
AUGCAGGUGCGGCCGGAGCCGAGCCGCCAGGAACCGAUGCAGGUGCGGCCGGAGCCGAGCCGCCAGGAACCGAUGCCGGUGCGGCCGGAGCCGAGCCGCCAGGGACCGAUGCCGGUGCAGCGGGAGCUGCGACGGGAACGACCCCCUCCUGGAGGUCGACAGGGACUGCGACGGGCGCGACCCCCUCCUGGAGGUCCGCCGGGACUGCGACGGGCGCGACCCCCUCCUGGAGGUCCGCCGGGACUGCGACGGGCGCGACCCCCUCCUGGAGGUCCGCCGGGACUGCGACGGGCGCGACCCCCUCCUGGAGGUCCGCCGGGACUGCGACGGGCGCGACCCCCUCCUGGAGGUCCGCCGGGACUGCCGCUGGCGCGACCUCCUCCUGGAGGUGCGCGGGAACUGCAGCUGGCGCGACCUCCUCCUGGAGGGACAGGGGCUGGAACGGCCGCCACAUGGCCGACAGGAACGGCAUCUACUUGGCCGACAGGGACAGGAACUAGAACGGCCGCAACAUGGCCGACAGGAACGGCAUCUACUUGGCCGACAGGGACAGGAACCGGGACUAGAACGGCCGCAACAUGGCCGACAGGAACGGCCGCAACAUGGCCGGCAGGGACAGGAACGGCGUCUACUUGGCCGACAGGGACAGGAACAGGAACUAGAACGGCCUCAACAUGGCCGACAGGAACGGCCGCGACAUGGCCGACAGGAACUGGAACGGCAUCUACUCUGGAGCUGGCAUGGCUACUUGCCGCUGCCAAGCUCGACGGAGCAGACGUCGGGCCUGAUCGGGUGUGCAUAGCACCUGUGCGACAGGUGGUGCCCCCUGGUUGGGACACGACCUGCGCGUGACUGAACUGAACUGGGACAGGAACGUGACUGGACUGAACUGGAACCGGGACAGGAACGUGACUGGACUGAACUGGAACCGGGACAGGAACGUGACUGGACUGAACUGGAACCUGGACAGGAACGUGACUGGACUGAACUGGAACCUGGACAGGAACGUGACUCGACUGUGCUGGAACCUGGACAGGAACGUGACUCGACUGUGCUGGAACCUGGACAGGCCUCGACUGUGCUGGAACCUGGACAGGCCUCGACUGUGCUGGAACCUGGACAGGCCUCGACUGUACUGGGGCCGGGACAGGCCUCGACUGAACUGGGGCCGGGACAGGCCUCGACUGAACUGGGGCCGGGACAGGACUCGACUGAACUGGGGCCGGAACAGGACUCGACUGAACUGGGGCCGGAACAGGACUCGACUGAACUGGGGCCGGAACAGGACUCGACUGAACUGGGGCCGGAACAGGACUCGACUGAACUGGGGCCGGAACAGGACUCGACUGAACUGGGGCCGGAACAGGACUCGACUGAACUGGGGCCGGAACAGGACUCGACUGAACUGGGGCCGGAACAGGACUCGACUGAACUGGGGCCGGAACAGGACUCGACUGAACUGGGGCCGGAACAGGACUCGACUGAACUGGGGCCGGAACAGGACUCGACUGAACUGGGGCCGGAACAGGACUCGACUGAACUGGGGCCGGAACAGGACUCGACUGAACUGGGGCCGGAACAGGACUCGACUGAACUGGGGCCGGAACAGGACUUGACUGAACUGGGGCCUGAACUGGGCUCGACUGGACUGGAGACUGGACUGGGCUCGACUGGACUGGGCUCGACUGGACUGGGCUCGACUGGACUGGGCUCGACUGGACUGGGCUCGACUGGACUGGGCUCGACUGGACUGGCGGCUGGCCUGGAGACUGAACAGCGCGCGGCUGGCCUGGAGACUGAACAGCGCGCGGCUGGCCUGGAGACUGAACAGCGCGCGGCUGGCCUGGAGACUGAACAGCGCGCGGCUGGCCUGGAGACUGAACAGCGCGCGGCUGGCCUGGAGACUGAACAGCGCGCGGCUGGCCUGGAGACUGAACAGCGCGCGGCUGGACUGGAGACUGAACAGCGCGCGGCUGGACUGGAGACUGAACAGCGCGCGGCUGGACUGGAGACUGAACAGCGCGCGGCUGGACUGGAGACUGAACAGCGCGCGGCUGGACUGGAGACUGAACAGCGCGCGGCUGGACUGGAGACUGAACAGCGCGCGGCUGGACUGGAGACUGAACAGAACGUGACUGGGCGGAGACCUGAGCAUGGCAAGGCUGAGCUGGAACCUGAACGAGGGGCGACUGAACUACGACUGGAGUCUGAACAGGACAUGGCUGCACUAGGGCUGGAGACUGAGCGUGGCUUGACUGACCUGACUGAGAGGUGGGACAUGAAGCGGCUGCUGGCUGCAGGCCCGGGAGUUGCAGGACCUCUCGCAGGACAGGUUCCCUCAGGACGAGAGCGGCUGCUUCCUCGAACAGUUGUUCUCUCGUGCCCUGGUCUGCUGCCGAAUCGGCGGUGUUCAUGAGGUGGGCGAAGAGAAACGCAACUGGAGGAGAGCAGAGGAGGUGGACCCGUCGGGCGACGCUGUCUGAGAUGCCUGCUAUCAGAGGGACACAGUCAGUCGGAGAAUCGAGGGGAUCCCCCGCGGGAGGGGAGAGCUGCUCGGGCACUGCGACCGAGGUCUCUGGGCCCUGAACCUCAGACCCGUGCCCUCGCCGACGUCGUCUGGGGCGCCUGCGGCUGACCGUCGCCUGAGGCGCUGGGAGCGGCAGGGGCUGGGUCUCUGUAGUGGGGUCCGUGUGGUGAACCAAACCGACGGCGUCUGGAGCUUGGGUUGUAGCCGCAGGCGCGGCGACAGGAACGGGAACCGCCGGAGCGGCGACAGGAACGGGAACCGCCGGAGCGGCGACAGGAACGGAAACCGCCGGAGCGGCGUCAGGAACGGGAACCGUCGGAGCGGCGACAGAGGCGCGGCCAGGCGAUACGCGCAGAGCGCGUGUCAAGUCCCUCCGCGUUAGUCGGAGCCCCUCGAAAUACGCUUGCACCCCGGGGUACUCACGCCACCAGUAUUCGUCCUCCAGUAUCUCGAUGGCUAGUUCUACCACGGAGAGCCGAACCUGGGGGCUGGGUGCUUCCGCAUAUUUCCUGGCUAAGCCCUGGAGAUCGCCACGGAUGUCCUCCGGUAGACUUAGGAAAACGAAAUCCAUUGCUCCGGUGAGCGACUUGUACACGGAGCCAAACAGAGAGGGGGAAAAAAAAGAAGAGACGGCGGCGGCUGACCGGGGUGAAGGCUGGGCGCUGGCUGGGUCCAAGUCUGGCCAGAUCGUUCUGUCACGGAUCGGCAGGGAGAGGACUCAAAUGCACAGCGCCAGGACACGACGUAGCCGGUGAAAAAAUGAGGGUUUAUUCCCAAAAUCAAAGUCACAAAACAGGUAGUGGACAAUAACAGAACGAUGACUUACAGGGUCGGUAAGAUGCUGCAGGAACGUGAGAGUCGGAAAUCAGAAAACAACGAUCUGGCAGAGAACCAAUGUGACAGGUGGUGGUUAAAUACACGGAAAAGAUCACUGAUACAAAACAGGUGAGUGUAAUGAGGACCGGGAGUGAAGCGGGAACGGCUGUGGUGUGAUGGGAAACGGAAGUGUUUACAAAAUAAAACCGAAAACUGGGAUCA